Camellia sinensis is the source of this 481-nucleotide long non-coding RNA. RefSeq lists it as uncharacterized. NCBI's taxonomy places the organism in Eukaryota, Viridiplantae, Streptophyta, Magnoliopsida, Ericales, Theaceae. The record is from RefSeq and is a predicted model, not a curated record.
CAGGUGUCACUCGUCACUCACUCACUCACUCUCUCUCUCUCUCUCUCUCUCUCUCUCUCAGAUCCCUAAUUUCGUUUUCUCUCGCAAAUGCAAUGGUUCUUCGCUAGAUUGCUUCUGAUCCGUUGCCGCCUCAUCUCUCCUCGAUUCUCCGUUUCGCGGCGACUCUCCGGUAACGAUUCCGAUCAGGCUUUUGAUCACUUCCCUGAAUUUUUUGGAUGGCAUUACAUUGGAUGAUUUUCGGCAUGCAUAUGCUUUAGGCAUUCUUGCUUAUAUUUUUCUCUGAGCUAGGGGACAAAACCUUUUUUUAUUGCGGUAAGGGAGAAUUUAUCAAAUUUUUCAUGGAAUGUAUCUGAUCAUGAAUGUUUCAAAUCAGACUCUGUGAAUUAAUUGAAUGAACAUGCUUGUGUAUAUUGUGUAUGUUGGUGGACAAUUUACUUUCCCCUAAAAAAACUUUAAUCCCUAAAUCUUAGCAUGAGAUCAA